UGCUACGGUGAAUACGUUCCCGGGCCUUGUACACACCGCCCGUCAACCAAUGGAAGUUGGGGGUACCUAAAGUCGAUAACCGCAAGGAGUCGCCUAGGGUAAAACCGAUAACUGGUGUU
Molecule: ribosomal RNA, 119 nt
Filed under: uncultured bacterium
Lineage: Bacteria
Description: partial 16S ribosomal RNA
Rfam family: Bacterial small subunit ribosomal RNA
Source: RNAcentral